UAGGAUGUCUAGGUACAGUGGGAUUCGG
RNAcentral lists this non-coding RNA (28 nucleotides) under Mus musculus (house mouse). Lineage: Eukaryota; Metazoa; Chordata; Mammalia; Rodentia; Muridae. The record is from RNAcentral.